UUGCUCCACCGAAAGAAAAAGAGUGGCGAACGGGUGAGUAACACGUGGGUAACCUGCCCAUCAGAAGGGGAUAACACUUGGAAACAGGUGCUAAUACCGUAUAACACUAUUUUCCGCAUGGAAGAAAGUUGAAAGGCGCUUUUGCGUCACUGAUGGAUGGACCCGCGGUGCAUUAGCUAGUUGGUGAGGUAACGGCUCACCAAGGCAACGAUGCAUAGCCGACCUGAGAGGGUGAUCGGCCACACUGGGACUGAGACACGGCCCAGACUCCUACGGGAGGCAGCAGUAGGGAAUCUUCGGCAAUGGACGAAAGUCUGACCGAGCAACGCCGCGUGAGUGAAGAAGGUUUUCGGAUCGUAAAACUCUGUUGUUAGAGAAGAACAAGGAUGAGAGUAAAAUGUUCAUCCCUUGACGGUAUCUAACCAGAAAGCCACGGCUAACUACGUGCCAGCAGCCGCGGUAAUACGUAGGUGGCAAGCGUUGUCCGGAUUUAUUGGGCGUAAAGCGAGCGCAGGCGGUUUCUUAAGUCUGAUGUGAAAGCCCCCGGCUCAACCGGGGAGGGUCAUUGGAAACUGGGAGACUUGAGUGCAGAAGAGGAGAGUGGAAUUCCAUGUGUAGCGGUGAAAUGCGUAGAUAUAUGGAGGAACACCAGUGGCGAAGGCGGCUCUCUGGUCUGUAACUGACGCUGAGG
This 691-nucleotide ribosomal RNA is filed under the name Enterococcus casseliflavus. RNAcentral's name for it is "bacterial SSU rRNA". It matches the Rfam family "Bacterial small subunit ribosomal RNA", at positions 73 to 751 of the family's 1533-position model. Lineage: Bacteria; Bacillati; Bacillota; Bacilli; Lactobacillales; Enterococcaceae. The record is from RNAcentral.